AAAAUAUUUUCCCAGUUUAUUGCUUCCCUUCUAAUCUUGUCUGCAUUAGUUUUGUUUGUACAAAAACUUUUCAGUUUGGUAUAAUCGAAAUUUUCUAUUUUGUGAUCAGUAAUGAUCUCUAGUUCUGCUUUGGUCAUAAAGACCUUCCCCUUGUGAAGUGAUUUAUUAUAAGUCCCUUAUUGUAUUCUGUGAGAAGUUGUUGUUCAAUCAUUUCAGUCUUUCCAUGAUUCCAUUUGGGGAUUUUUUGUCCUUUCAUCUUGGAAAUGUAAGAAUCAGACAGUGUGUAGCUGAUUGUGAUAGUGUUUAGUGAGGAAGCAGAGAUCUAACAAGGCUGUAAAUAGAGCCCAGCGUGGCACUGAUCCCAAGUCCUAUUAUAAUAAUAACAAUAACUGGCAUUUAUAUGGCCCUUUAAUGCUUAGGUAUUCGUUUGUUCCUCACAAUAAUCCUACAAGGUAGGUGCAAUCAUCACCUGAGUUUUUCACAAAUGGGGUUAAACUGAGGUUGAAAGUGACUGUGACUUAUUCAGGUUUAUAAGGAAGGAUUUGAACUCACGUCUUCCUGAUUCCAACACCUGUAUCAUCACACUGGUACUCGAAGAGUGUUUAUGGGAGUCAGUUUGAAUCUAUCCUGGGUUUUUAAUGGCUCAUACUGCUCUAGGCCCCCACUAGGCUAAUAUCAGGAAGGGGCAGAAGCUGGGAUGAUGCUAUGUAAUCAUGUCCCCAUCAAGAAUUGUAUAUCCCCAGAAAAACAGUCAAGCAGACAGAACAUUAACCUCAGAGGAGGAGACUUGGGGUUGAAUCCCAGUCCUGACCUUUGCAAGCUGAGUGAUCUUGGACAAAAGAACUUCUGAGACUCAGCUCUGUAAAAUGGGAAUAAUUCAACUCAGUUUAACAAGCAUUUAUUAAGAGUCUACCAUAUGCAAAGUUGGGAUAAUAAUGCUUUGAUAUUCACCUCACAAGACUGUGAGGAAAACAUUUUAUUAACCUUAAGGUCUCUUGAAAUAUGAGUGCAAAUUAUCAAUGACUAUACAAUUAUCCUCUGGGCUCUCCCAGAACCUGGUCAGUUAUAUCUCCCUUCAGGGUUCUAGAUUACCUCUGAGAGGUUGAAGUUUUUAUUUUUUUUUCUUCUAAACAUAUUUCCACAUUUAUUAUUCUGCACAAGAAAAAUCAGAUCAAAAAGAAAAAAAAAUGAGAGAGAAAAAACCAAGCAAUCAAAUAACAACAACAAAAAGGUGAAAAUAACAAGUUAUAUAUUUAACAUGUAUUGGACUACCUGCCAGCUAGGGGAGGAGGUGGGGGGAAGGAGGGGAAAUUUUAGAACAAAAGAUUUUGCAAGGGUCAAUGUUGAAAAAUUACUUUUGCAUAUGUUUUGUAAAUUAAUUAGUUAAUUAAUUAGAAAAUACUAAGUUGUAACAAUACUAUAUGAUGACCAGUUCUGAUGGACCUGGCCAUCCUCAGCAACAAGAUCAACCAAAUCAUUUCCAAUGGA
RNAcentral lists this long non-coding RNA (1488 nucleotides) under Sarcophilus harrisii (Tasmanian devil). RNAcentral describes it as "lncRNA (ENSSHAG00000022466.1)". Lineage: Eukaryota; Metazoa; Chordata; Mammalia; Dasyuromorphia; Dasyuridae. The record is from RNAcentral.